Molecule: unclassified non-coding RNA, 526 nt
Filed under: uncultured Glomeromycotina
Lineage: Eukaryota; Fungi; Glomeromycota
Description: bacterial SSU rRNA
Rfam family: Eukaryotic small subunit ribosomal RNA
Source: RNAcentral
CCAAUAGCGUAUAUUAAAGUUGCUGCGGUUAAAAAGCUCGUAGUUGAAUUUCGGAAUUGAUGCAUCGGUCGUGCCUUAAGGGGCAUGAACUGGUGUAGCCAAUUUCUCACCUUCUGGUGAAUUGUUGAUGUUCUUAAUGGGUGUCUCAAUGAACUAGAAUUUUUUACUUUGAAAAAAUUAGAGUGUUUAAAGCAGGCAUUAAUUUGCUUGAAUACAUUAGCAUGGAAUAAUGAAAUAGGACAGUGGUUCCGUUUUGUUGGUUUCUAGGAUCACGUAAUGAUUAAUAGGGACAGUUGGGGGCAUUAGUAUUCAAUUGUCAGAGGUGAAAUUCUUGGAUUUAUUGAAGACUAACUAUUGCGAAAGCAUUUGCCAAGGAUGUUUUCAUUAAUCAAGAACGAAAGUUAGGGGAUCAAAGACGAUUAAGUACGUCGUAGUCCUAACCAUAAACUAUACCGACUAGGAAUCAGACGAUGUUAAUUUUUUAAUGACUCGUUUGGUACCUUACGGGAAACCAAAGUUUUGGGUC